Molecule: small nuclear RNA, 102 nt
Organism: Coffea eugenioides
Lineage: Eukaryota; Viridiplantae; Streptophyta; Magnoliopsida; Gentianales; Rubiaceae
Source: RefSeq, a predicted model, not a curated record
GUCCCUUCGGGGACAUCUGAUAAAAUUGGAACGAUACAGAAUAGAUUAGCAUGGCCCCUGCGCAAAGAUGAAUUGAGAAAUGGAAAUUAAAACACCAAAAAA